GGCUGCCGUUCCAUGUGGCAGCCAUCUUAAGGUGCAGAGCAAUAGGGGAAGGAGGAGGCUGCUAUUUGAUGUAGCAGUCAUUUUAAGGCUCGAGAGACUGGCUCUCUGAAGACAGCAUUAAUACAGAAACAUAUAUGGAUACUCUGAACAGUCUCAACUGACCCCAGUCUUCUGAUCAUUUCCAGGCACCAAAUAUUACUAAAUCCAUCUUCAGCCCUACAGAUCUGUCUGCCAGCAUCACUGUAACCAGUUUCAGCCAAAAUUCAUGGAACAAUGAGGACGAA
Molecule: long non-coding RNA, 284 nt
Organism: Fukomys damarensis (Damara mole-rat)
Lineage: Eukaryota; Metazoa; Chordata; Mammalia; Rodentia; Bathyergidae
Exons: 3
Source: RefSeq, a predicted model, not a curated record